Long non-coding RNA from Melanotaenia boesemani (Boeseman's rainbowfish), 260 nucleotides. RefSeq lists it as uncharacterized. Lineage: Eukaryota; Metazoa; Chordata; Actinopteri; Atheriniformes; Melanotaeniidae. The transcript is spliced from 3 exons. The record is from RefSeq and is a predicted model, not a curated record.
CAGUUUUGUGCAAAAAGAAACUUUUAUUUGCAGGGCCGGCCCUAGGAUUUUGGUGGCCCUAAGCAAGAUUUUUUUUGUGGCCCCAAAACAUGCACAGGGCAACUACCAAAUUACACGCACAGCUCAUAAUUGAAUUAAAACAGACUUGCACAUGGUGAACAGCAAAUAUCUUACUUUAUUUUAAAAUGAGGUAUCCUCAAAACAAUAAAGACAAUUCUUAACUGAAAUCUUCAAAUAAUAGAAAACAUAAAGGUAAGAUA